GAACGCUGGCGGCGUGCCUAACACAUGCAAGUUGAGCGGAGGUAGAUGGAGCUUGCUCUAUGUACCUUAGCAGCGAACGGGUGAGUAACACGUAGAUAAUCUGUCCUAUAUUGGGGGAUAGCCCGAUGAAAGUUGGAUUAAUACCGCAUACAGCUAUAUAGUUGCAUGAUUAUAUAGUGAAAGAUUUAUUGAUAUAGGAGGAGUCUGCGGCACAUUAGCUAGUAGGUGAGGUAAGAGCUUACCUAGGCGACGAUGUGUAGCCGGUCUGAGAGGAUGAACGGCCACAAUGGAACUGAGACACGGUCCAUACUCCUACGGGAGGCAGCAGUGGGGAAUAUUGCACAAUGGGGGAAACCCUGAUGCAGCAACGCCGCGUGAGUGAAGAAGGUUUUCGGAUUGUAAAGCUCUGUUAGCAGGGAAGAGGAAGGACGGUACCUGCAGAGGAAGCCACGGCUAACUACGUGCCAGCAGCCGCGGUAAUACGUAGGUGGCAAGCGUUGUUCGGAAUAACUGGGCGUAAAGGAUGCGUANGCGGUUAAAUAAGUUAUAUGUUAAAUAUAUAGGCUUAACCUGUAGAAAGCAUAUAAAACUGUUUAACUAGAGUGCAGGAGAGGUAAGUGGAAUUCCUAGUGUAGCGGUGAAAUGCGUA
RNAcentral lists this ribosomal RNA (649 nucleotides) under uncultured bacterium. Its description in RNAcentral is "bacterial SSU rRNA". It matches the Rfam family "Bacterial small subunit ribosomal RNA", at positions 31 to 692 of the family's 1533-position model. The record is from RNAcentral.